RNAcentral lists this long non-coding RNA (798 nucleotides) under Microcebus murinus (gray mouse lemur). RNAcentral describes it as "lncRNA (ENSMICG00000048416.1)". The record is from RNAcentral. Lineage: Eukaryota; Metazoa; Chordata; Mammalia; Primates; Cheirogaleidae.
CCUCCCCCUGGCCUGAGCACACAGCGUCCGCAUCUCUGGCUCUGGGCUCAGCCCAGACCUGCCUCUCUCUCGGUCAGACUGAGCGGACCCAGCACGGGGCCAGAAGGUCGAACGGCUUCUGGACACAGGUGGCCACUUCUCUGAGCCAGGCUGGGGACGAGGGACUUUGCUGGGGACAGAACAAGUCCUAGGGACCUGGGGUGCACGGGCCACCCCAGCCACGGCACAGGGCGGGAGGAGACCAGAGGGCCCAGCGUCCCUGCGGGUGGACCUUGGAAGCAGGAAACUCAAUCCGGGCAACACGCAGGUCGAUGGUUGGCGUCGACUUUAGGGCAGCUCAUGUGUGUAAGCCGGAUGUUUCCUCUUCAUCCUCUGAAGGCGCCUCUGUGGCUCUCUGUGAAGUGGGGGGCGCUCCUGUUGCCACGUGGAGGACGGACGAGAGAGGCACGCAGGUGUCCCAGGGGAUCCUGCAGCGACUGCUCCGAGGCACAGGGCUUGUACUCUCGGCCCUCACGAGGACACGGCCGUCUCAGCUUGAGAGCUCGGCUGGGGAGAGAGUGUCCUGUCCUGUCGGCAGCUCAUGCCUUCUGCUGCAUCCUGGAGAAGGUGACGGAGCUGGGCUGGGUCCUGCUGUGCCCCUGGGGGUCUUGCCUGGGUCUCCUGCCCUCCGUUUGCUCCCAGGAGCACGCGGCAGCUAGUGCAGGCCUACGGAAAAGACCGGAGCCUGAACGCCGACUCCCUUGGUGUCUGGGGUCUGCCAACCAGGACCCCGGCCUGCAUUUUGCUUUUAAGAAUUGA